GUCUGUAUGGCCGAGUGGUCUAAGGCGCCAGACUAAAAUUCUGGUUUCAAUUGGAGGCGUGGGUUCAAAUCCCACUUCUGACA
Molecule: transfer RNA, 83 nt
Filed under: Gadus morhua (Atlantic cod)
Lineage: Eukaryota; Metazoa; Chordata; Actinopteri; Gadiformes; Gadidae
Description: tRNA-Phe (AAA) (tRNA-Phe-AAA-4-1)
Rfam family: tRNA
About the family: Transfer RNA (tRNA) molecules are approximately 80 nucleotides in length. Their secondary structure includes four short double-helical elements and three loops (D, anti-codon, and T loops).
Source: RNAcentral